UACGGAAGGCAGCAGUGGGGAAUAUUGCACAAUGGGCGCAAGCCUGAUGCAGCCAUGCCGCGUGUAUGAAAAAGGCCUUCGGGUUGUAAAGUACUUUCAGUCGUGAGGAAGGUGUUAAGGUUAAUAACCUUAGCAAUUGACGUUAGCGACAGAAGAAGCACCGGCUAACUCCGUGCCAGCAGCCGCGGUAAUACGGAGGGUGCGAGCGUUAAUCGGAAUUACUGGGCGUAAAGGGCACGCAGGCGGUUAAUUAAGUUGGAUGUGAAAUCCCCGGGCUUAACCUGGGAAUGGCAUUCAAGCUGGUUAGCUAGAGUCUUGUAGAGGGGGUAGAAUUCCAUGUGUAGCGGUGAAAUGCGUAGAGAUGUGGAGGAAUACCGGUGGCGAAGGCGGCCCCGUGGACAAAGACUGACGCUCAUGUGCGAAAGCGUGGGGAGCAAACAGGGAUUAGAUACC
This 453-nucleotide ribosomal RNA is filed under the name uncultured bacterium. RNAcentral describes it as "bacterial SSU rRNA". It matches the Rfam family "Bacterial small subunit ribosomal RNA", at positions 340 to 786 of the family's 1533-position model. The record is from RNAcentral.